AAAAUUAUUCUUGAAUUAUUUAUCUUUGUAGGAAUCUACUUUGUAUGACAAGAUGCAGUUGGACAACAUAUUCACAUCAUAUGAUGAAAUGAUCAAGAACAUGGCCUGUGUAAGAAUUCAUUAUGGCUCAACAGAAAAAAGAACUUUGACGCAUCGUCCAAAAUAUCCGUUAAUUGAAAUGUUCAGUCUUCUCGGCGGAUACAGUGGACUUUGGCUUGGAUUUUCUCUGUUAAAUGGAUAUGAAUUCUUACUCAGCAGAAUAUCUCAUCACUUAAAAAGGAGAAACAUUCUCUCCUCAAAUAACUGUUAUAGAACAAAAAUUAACUCAUUUA
Molecule: long non-coding RNA, 332 nt
Organism: Uloborus diversus
Lineage: Eukaryota; Metazoa; Arthropoda; Arachnida; Araneae; Uloboridae
Exons: 3
Source: RefSeq, a predicted model, not a curated record